UGUGUAUUUUUUUGUGGAGCAAGCACAGAGCUAGAGUGAUAGAAAUGGCUUUUUGAGUAAUAAGCAGAUGGGAAGAUGGAUGAGAUGAAGCAGAGAUAUUGGUGUGAAAUGAUGGAGAGAUGUGCUAGGUAGCUGUGGCAUGCGUGUUAGCAUCUAGCCAGGGAGGGCAGGGGAUAGGAUAAAAACAUAAAAAACGAAUAGAGGCUUUCCUUUUUUGGUAUUUCUGUUAUUGCAAGUCCAAUGUGGGAAGUGCCACCAGUAUCUUUAGAUGCUGCUGUUAUCUGAAGUUCCGCUCCUAUAGCUCACAGCUGAGUUAUACAGACAAGUGUUCAAGGCCAUGUAAUUAACGCAGUGGAAACUACCAAGUGGAUCCAGCAGUUAUAGUGAUGUAGAAGAAACGAAGCUUGAUACAUCUUUUAAUGGCACGGGAAUAAGAUGCCUUCACUGCUGGAUAGUGGAGGGUAAAUUUCCUUCCACUCGCUUAUAGCAGUAGUGGCUACUAAAAGAGGAAAGUAGCAGUUCAGUCACCUUAUCAGGAUCCCCCUCCAGGAAAACUAACGUCAUUUGGAAGAGUAUGCACCAGUUCAUCCUCAGUUUAUUGUGGAAGGUCAGUGAGCAUGAGUAAAAGUUACCCUGGUACUUCCAGUCUACAUUUUCAGCAGUGUAUGCAGUUUCCUUCAUUUGGUGGCUCAAUAAUGCAUUUUUAAGUGGACUUGAACACUUUGCCAAUCACCUUCUCCAACACAGGAUUACUACUGAAAUGAAUUCUACCAUGAAAAUGUUUGGGUUUUUUUUUUUCCUGUACUGAUUUUAGCAUCCAAUUUUCUUUGGUAGAAAUGGAACAAGGGUUUACUCUCAUGGGUUGUAAUGGCUGCUAGCAUGGGUGAGUUUUUUCUUGGCUUUAUAAUGAAAAUUUUGUUCUUUCUUUGGAGUCCAACAUUUAGGGUUUGACAAUGGAGUGAAAAGUACAAUUGGAAUGGGCACUUUUCAGCUAGGGAAUACUUUCAUGUCAAAAAGUAGCUGCAAGGCACUUGAUCGCAAUUUUCAAGUGUGGUUCCUAAGAGGCUUUUAGGCACACUUCCACAAAAGUUGCACAGCAGUUUUCUUGCUUUACUUCUGAUGUGAAAUCCAAAUCAGAUGCUUAAUAAAGU
This 1151-nucleotide long non-coding RNA is filed under the name Phasianus colchicus (ring-necked pheasant). RNAcentral's name for it is "lncRNA (ENSPCLG00000006649.1)". The record is from RNAcentral. Lineage: Eukaryota; Metazoa; Chordata; Aves; Galliformes; Phasianidae.